ACUCAUACCUUGCAGAGGAGAUACCAUUAUUGUAAAAGUGGUUUUCCCAGGCUCAUCUAUUGCACUUUGGAUGUGCUGACCCCUGUGAUUUCCCCAAAUGUGGGAAAAUCAACUGCGUAAGUGGGGGACUGUGUUUGUGUUUUCCCCUG
This 149-nucleotide small nuclear RNA is filed under the name Pogona vitticeps (central bearded dragon). RNAcentral describes it as "U1 spliceosomal RNA (ENSPVIG00000002854.1)". It matches the Rfam family "U1 spliceosomal RNA". From Rfam's summary of the family: U1 is a small nuclear RNA (snRNA) component of the spliceosome (involved in pre-mRNA splicing). Its 5' end forms complementary base pairs with the 5' splice junction, thus defining the 5' donor site of an intron. Lineage: Eukaryota; Metazoa; Chordata; Lepidosauria; Squamata; Agamidae. The record is from Rfam by way of RNAcentral.